ACGGGUGAGUAAUGUCUGGGAAACUGCCUGAUGGAGGGGGAUAACUACUGGAAACGGUAGCUAAUACCGCAUAACGUCGCAAGACCAAAGAGGGGGACCUUCGGGCCUCUUGCCAUCAGAUGUGCCCAGAUGGGAUUAGCUAGUAGGUGGGGUAACGGCUCACCUAGGCGACGAUCCCUAGCUGGUCUGAGAGGAUGACCAGCCACACUAGAACUGAGACACGGUCCAGACUCCUACGGGAGGCAGCAUG
RNAcentral lists this ribosomal RNA (250 nucleotides) under uncultured bacterium. Its description in RNAcentral is "partial 16S ribosomal RNA". It matches the Rfam family "Bacterial small subunit ribosomal RNA", at positions 102 to 353 of the family's 1533-position model. The record is from RNAcentral.